This 3963-nucleotide long non-coding RNA is filed under the name Chlamydomonas reinhardtii. RNAcentral's name for it is "long non-coding RNA (CREI_LNC001187)". The record is from RNAcentral. Lineage: Eukaryota; Viridiplantae; Chlorophyta; Chlorophyceae; Chlamydomonadales; Chlamydomonadaceae.
UCACGGCGGCGACCUGAGCUAUAGCGACUCUAUCCGUCUACGUGUCUGAGCACUGCAAAUGCAUUAGGCUUGCAUUUGUGGGAGAAUAACGCAAGGAACGAAAGGUCAGGUGCGUGUAGGUCGCUGGGCCAAAGCCGCCUGAGUAGCUGUGGCUUGGUAUGGAUGAUAAAGCAACUGAAUCAAUUUGCCACCGGUGUUGAGGCGAGGGCGACCUGACCGCGAAAUACACGGCCCGAGGGCACGCCCCGUAUCAACACCCCUCGCGACCUCCAAACACGUGCACUGAACCGCGAAGCCCUCCCCCAAGCCUAUCGCGGCUGCUAUUCCCAUGUCCUCCUCCCCAACCAUUCUGCAUACAGGCUCUGGCGUGAGUCCCUGCCCGCGUCAUUUGACACCCGUCGACCACGACUGAGGUGCAACGCAUGUCGCUUACAAAUCCAACAUCCCGCCCGACACGAGAGGGGCAGAAACGGCGGGGCAGACGGCCAGCCUCUUGAACAUGAGCAUAGCAGUGCAAUAUCGCACAUUGGGUCCCCGCCUGCUUCACCUGGCCACCUUUGCUGAUUUGUCUGACAUCCCUGUCUACACACUUUUAUCCGCCCACGCUUGAGACGUCCUCCUCAGCGCGCAGGCUUCACGGUACCAACCGUGCGGUAUCAUCGCUACAUGAUGAGUGCACUGCCCCAACCAUUGAAGCAUCACAAGGUGCUUGCCUGCCGCCGCCGCCGCUGAUACGUACACGAUUGCUGCCACACAACCAACACAUCACACCCAACAAUCACAACAACAAAACAACUGAGACCCGCCGCCGUGCAACGCACACUGUACACGCCCCAGGGCCGAGAACACAACGCAACACAAGCACCUGACAUGCCUCAUCCAGGCAUGCGUCACUCAAUCGCCCACCGAGCCGACCUCGCACACGCCGUUCGUGAGCCCCUGCGGCUGACAUGCCCGGCCCUGCCCCCUUGGCACCGCAGCCCUGCCGCCUUGGCACCGCCGCCCAUUGCCCCACCCCCAUGCUGCGUGCCAUGUAAGAAUAAAGCCAGGUCCCCAUCAAGCCGCAGCAUAUAUCCCCGCCAAGCCACCAGACUCCUCUUGCCGCACGCUACCAACCACCACCAGCACAGGACCGGCACCUGCCUGUCCCCCUGUUUAGUUUGGGCUGAUAUUUACAACCCCCCACCCUCCCCUCCCCACCUUCCCCAUUGCCAACCUCGCCCACCGCGCCGACAUGCACGCCGGCACCUCGCUCGUGCCUCUCGAGGCCUCCCAUCUUCCGUAGCUAGAGAUCCCUGUCCACGAGUAUCCACUUGGGCUCCAGCCCACUCCUGAUGCACACGCCGGCAUUACCCAGGUCUGCAUGGUUUGCAUGCCUGCCUGUCUACCGUGCACGCACACCUGCCUAGCUACGCAGACCUACUACCGUCCUUUUUGACCCGCCUCCGCCGCCACCGCCGCCGUCUCCUCCCUCUGGCCGCCGUGCCGGCCGCGCCAGCAGCUGCUGUUGUGGGUUGCCGCCAGAGCCGCCGCCGCCCUUGUUGCUGUUGGUGGUGGUGGUUGCGGGCUGGUGUGGCGCGGCCGUAGUGACAGCCGCAGCGCCGCCCACGGCACCCGCUGUCACUGUUUCCACCGCCACCGCCGGCUGCUGCAGCCGGCGCAGCAGGUAGGCCUCCUGCUCGGAAGGAGUCAGGAAGUCCCAUUCCCAGUACGGCACUAGUAGGACGCCGCCCUCCUUAAACGCCCGCCGCAGCUGCCGAAUGCGAAUGGCCGUACCCCCUUCCACAGCAGCGCUGGGGUCUUGCUGCUGCGUUUGUGUCAAGAGGUAACGUUUCGGUCCGAGGAACUCCACCGCCGCCUGCUGCCCGUCACUCAGCCGCACCACCGCAUCCACUGGCGCCAACACUCCUGGCGCGACAACGCCCGUCUGAAGGGACUGAACGGCUAGGCCCCCUGCUGCCUUGAGGCCCUGCUGCUCAAGCCGCCGCAGCGCUGCAACGACCUGCUUUUGAGUAUCUGAUGUGGGCUUGGCGUCUUCCCUCUCAGUAGUCACCGCCGCUGCCAUCGCCGCCUGCAGUCCGCUGCCGCUGCCCAGGGCCGCCGCCACCUCGCCGCCUAGCUCCUGCUGCGCCUGCCACAGCUGUUUGAGAUGCUCAGUUGUAAGACCCUCCCAACGGCUUACUGCUUCACGGGCCAGCUGAAUGGAUAGCUGCUUCAUGUCGGGAGAAUACGUGCCUCCGAACACAGCCAUGGCCCACAGGCUGUUGCAUACGUGCUGGUGCAGGACUGUGUCAGAGUCAUGCUGCAGCAGCUCGCCCAGCCGACCGCACACCGCCGCCUCCAAGCCAGCGUGCCGCAGCUGCAGCACCGCCAGCGCGUACAGCGUAUUGGCACAGUUCUGACCACCGGCACUACUGGCGCGCAUGGCUGCUACUGCUGCGCCCGAGUCAAGCAGCUCCGCCGGCGGCUGGUGGCGCAUCAACGCAAGCGCGUACAGCAGAUUGGACCAGGCCUGAGAUGUUGCGCGGGCCAUGGCGCCCGACUGCGUUGCUGCGUCCACCGCUGCUGAAACCCACUGCCGCUGCUCGGCCGGCGCCUCCGGGCCCGCCCCAAAUCCCAUCUUGGCUAGGGCCCACGCUGAGUUGCUGAGGUCCUGAGCGAUGUACCCGUCAAACCCCCGCCGCACGUCCUCUGCGGCCACUGCCACCACCAGCUCUGCCUGCUCGCUGCAUAGCUGCAGCCCCUCCAGCGCCAGCAGGAUGUUGGAUAGCUGUUGCGGGAUAAAUGCUGCAGCGAGCUCCGGUUUCCGGAGCCGCUGCAGUGCCUCCCCGCACAGCGCCUCAACUGCUGACCGGUACUCUGGUCCUGUGCACCCCAGAGCUUUGAGAGCCCAUAGGCUGUUUGAAACAUCUUGCGGCUUGAAGCCGUGGCCCGCCACCGUUCUCAAGCGAGAAGCCACAGCUGCCGCCAAGGUCUGCAAGUGUGGCGAUGAGGUGGGGUCCCAGCCUGAGCCCCGCUGCUGCUGGUCUUGCUUGAGCUUGCCGAGCGCGUACAUGACAAUUGCGAGGUUCUGAGGUUCCGCCUUCCCAAGAACCUCAGGAUCCACUAGCCGCUCCAGCAGAGCUGCUGCAAGCUGAGCCUCCGUGCCGCCGCCGACCAAUCCAGCUUUGCCCAGCGCCCACAGCGGAAUGCUGCAGUUCUUUGCGUUGCGGAUGCGCGGCACGAGCGGCAGGUAGGCCGGCGCAAGCAUGCCGAUAAUGCUGCUGCGUGCUACAGCCGUUUGGCUUGCUCCAGCGCGCGACUCCAGCUGCGUUCAAAGCAGUUAUGAGGGACAUACAUGGGGUCAAGUGCUAUAUGCAUGUGUUUGUGCGUGUGCGUGAACAGGUGCGCAUGCAAGUCCUGUGUGGCCAUCUGCGUCGUGAGAACCGGAAGUCCGGGCCGAGAACGACAACAAUGGACUCGCCCUCCAUUCUGCACUUCAUUUCUGUGCCCAUUCCCACCUGCACGUAUUAGUCCUCCCUCUCACCUUGCCGCACAGGUUGAACGCCGCACACAUGGUAAUGAAGUCUUUUCGGCCCUCCCACACUGAUAGCCGCUGGCUGAUGAUUGCUUGCAGCUCCUCCAGAGUCCGACACACGGUCAUGUCAUCCGCGGGGUCACGCCCGCUGCCCCUGCUUCUGCCGCUGGCGCGGCUGCCAUCGCCUGCCCUGCCUCCGCCGCUUCCCCUACCCNNNNNNNNNNNNNNNNNNNNNNNNNNNNNNNNNNNNNNNNNNNNNNNNNNNNNNNNNNNNNNNNNNNNNNNNNNNNNNNNNNNNNNNNNNNNNNNNNNNNGAGAAUAACGCAAGGAACGAAAGGUCAGGUGCGUGUAGGUCGCUGGGCCAAAGCCGCCUGAGUAGCUGUGGCUUGGUAUGGAUGAUAAAGCAACUGAAUCAAUUUGCCACCGGUGUUGAGGCGAGGGCGACC